CCAGGAUAUCCGGGAAGGGUCUGUGCAGGAGAUCUGCAAUGCAGUCCGGUCCAAGAGAUUCAACAUCUCCUCAGGUGUGAAAGGAGGUAUGUGGGGAACUGAGGAGGACAGUACAUGCCUCAGUAGGAAGCAGCAGGACAUGGGACCCACCACAGAGUCAACACAGAAGGGGCCAGAGGGCACAACUGGACAUAGGAAGACACCUGCAACUCUCUCCACUGACAACGGACACCCCUGGGUUUUGCUCAAUGAACACCCUGUCAGCAGACUCUGGGAACUGGGCGUGGACCAGGAAGCCAACAGUCCUCCUGAUGAGCGAGGGUGCCAGGGCAACGGGAGGGAAUCAAACGUGCAGAACAACUUCUGCUAGGAAGAAGCACACGAAAGAAAAAAACCAAGAGCACAAGAUGGAUGAGGCAGAGGGGCUGCCGCCUUCCCAGCACAGCAAUGGCACAGAUCCAGUUCCCAGACUGAACUCUGGUUCCUAUCAACCUUCUGGACGGGCCCUGUUACUGCGCAUCGCCUCCCCUGCAGGAAAUUCCCUGCCUUCCGCCAAAUGGAAUUCAUGAACCCCUGCCUCAAUCGCAAACCUCCCCUCUCCAUGGACCUGGGAAGCCCACAUUCUGCUCCGGGCCACACUCUGCAGCUGGGCAUGGAAGGCACAGCCGCAUCUCAGUGCCACCCGUCUGCGCUGGUGGUCAUCCAAGGUACUGAACGCCACCACUGUGGCCACCACCUCAUCGGGUCCCCUGCCGUGCAGGCCUCAGCUGCCUGAACUACACCCACGCCAAAUCCAUCACAACUCAGUUACCCACCCUACAAAUUCUAACCAAAAUAAACCUGGGAAGACUGCAUGCCUACUUUUCUCUCAAUUUUUUAAGUAUAUUUUUGUGACACCGAGUAAAUACACUGACUGUGGGGGACUGGCAUACACACACAUCUCGAUCUUUACCCUCCCCCUCCUCUCCCUCUCAUCUCUCCCAUCCUCAGAAACCCUCUACCUUUCAAAGAACCGAUGAUUCGAUGCAUGGACCCUUAGUAUGUUGAGUCUCAAUUUCAUUAGUUUUUGCUCUGAUCUUUAACAUGUCUUUUCUUCCAUUAGUUUCAGAUUUGGAUGGCUCUUGUCUUUCUUGGACCUUGAGAUGCAUCACUUGUUUAUUUGGGGUCAUUCUCUUCACGUGCUGCACACUAAGCCAAGUACUGACCAAGAGCGCAGCCAACCAAUUCCAGUGUGAUUUGGGUUGG
This 1245-nucleotide long non-coding RNA is filed under the name Chinchilla lanigera (long-tailed chinchilla). RNAcentral's name for it is "lncRNA (ENSCLAG00000028883.1)". The record is from RNAcentral. Lineage: Eukaryota; Metazoa; Chordata; Mammalia; Rodentia; Chinchillidae.